This 824-nucleotide long non-coding RNA is filed under the name Cicer arietinum (chickpea). Its description in RNAcentral is "long non-coding RNA (CARI_LNC003685)". Lineage: Eukaryota; Viridiplantae; Streptophyta; Magnoliopsida; Fabales; Fabaceae. The record is from RNAcentral.
AAUGAACAAAUAGAGCAAACCUCACCCCCAUUCCAAACUCAUACACAAAAUUUCAAACGCAAACCAGGAAUCGAAUGAAAUACCUUUCCGAUGCGGUCGUCUCUUUGAUCUUAAAAUGGUUUGAAUAUCCUUUAGCUAUGAAUAUGGGUUUGAUGGAUCUGAGUUUGCUGAAUGGGUUUGAUGGAUCUGUUUGGUAUGGGUAAGAUCUGUUUCUCUAAGAACAACUCUAUCUUCUACCUUUCUCUGGUUUUCUGAUUGUUUUAGAAAAUUUCCUCCUUCUGUUUGUCUCAAUUUAUAAUAGAAACGGCUAGUGUUUUCAUUCAUUGUACAAAUACAUGUUCUGAAUUUCAUUCAUUGUACAAAUACAUGUUCUGAAUUUUGUAUUGUUACUCAACAAAAAUUCAUUGGAUUUUACACUGUUUUUGUAAUAAAAUUUAAGCAAGGUACCGAAAAAAAAAAAAGAAGGCUGUUAAUUUUACAUUGUAUUUCAUUUUUUUAUUAAGGUAAAAAAAAUAAUCAAAGAAACCGGUUUAUAACAUGUUUGCAACAGGGAUCUUCACAAGAUAUAGAAGGUCUUUGCAAGUUGUUUCUCAGCAAUUGUUUUUUUUGAGUGAUGCUGGGUUGAAAGGAAACUUUGUUGAACAAAACCUAGCAACAUUGAAGACGUGUGAACGGAAGGAAACGUGUGGCCAGUGUGAACUGAAGAAACGUGUGCCCAGCAAUGGUUGCAGAUCAAUUAAAAAAUAUUUUAUUUCUUUUUCCUUUUUAUUUUAUUUUUAAUAUAUACUUAGAAUAUAAAAUAAUGGUAUUUUUGAAAAUGGUUG